This is a long non-coding RNA of Phyllopteryx taeniolatus (common seadragon), 1498 nucleotides long. RefSeq lists it as uncharacterized. The record is from RefSeq and is a predicted model, not a curated record. The transcript has 6 exons. NCBI's taxonomy places the organism in Eukaryota, Metazoa, Chordata, Actinopteri, Syngnathiformes, Syngnathidae.
GGAUAUCCACGGCGCCAUCACUAAUAUAAUAACCUCCAGUAGUUUGAAUGUAACGCUGCCCGAGUACCAAGACAGGAUCACCCUCUUCCGCAACACAGGAUCUCUGGAGCUGAGGAACGUGACAAUGAGAGACGCUGGAGAUUACAGAGUCACCAUCAUAGCUGCUGGUGGAUCUCAGCAGAGAGGGAACUGUAAACUGGACGUACAUGGUUGUUUGACCAGCCAUCCAUGCAAGACGCUGCAUCGCCACCCUGUGAAUCCGCUUUCCGCCCCAACCACAAGCUCUGCCAUAUGACUUCUGCCUGUACCUGUGGCUGUUUAUCUAGCCUUCUGCCUCUGAAUUUGAGUUCUGCCGUAGCAUGUUUGUUUGCCGGGCCCCAUAGCUAUUGGGGAUUCUACUACAAAGACAACCAAGUGUGAGUUACACUGUCCUGCUCUCUGUGAAUUGUGGAUUAAGACAACAGUGAAGUAAAUCCCCGACUGCGACUACUCGAAGGCCGUUGGAAUUGCUGCCGCCAUCACAGGCGGGCGCUGUAUUCUCAUCGCCGUAGUGAUCGGAUUGAUUGCAUGGGUUCUCAGAAGAAGGAAAAGACUCAGCAGCGGAUAUCCAACGCUCAAAAGAGAGAGAAAGAGUGUGAGGGUGAAGCACUCGGACAUGUAUAAGAUCUCAGGUAGAACUCACAGUGACCAUUAGGCUGCUUCGUUCACGAGGAAAAGGAAUGAUGAAGCACAACUAAGAAGUCCUCCACAUCAAAACUUCAGUCUUGUUUUUAUUUAUUAAUACACAACAACUCAAUGCCUUUUAUUUUAUUUUUUUUACUGUGAUUUUAGUUGUAUUGUUCUCGUGGCACCACGGUGGACGAGUGUCACAGUUCAGUUCUGAGGUUCUGGGCUCUAUUCCCAUCGAUGGCGUAGCUGCUGUCAAGCGUAAAAAACGAGCGUAUCUUGAUUUUUGCGCAACCGCCAGAUCGCUGCACCUUUUUACCAAUUUGGCAGACCGGUCUGCACCAAGCUGAGCGUGUCGGUGCAGCGAGGGUGUGCCCUUGGAGAUGCGCUUAGCGGAGUGAGAGUUUGUUGUCAGAAAGCCCGUCUCCACUUACGCCUGCCGGGACCACAUCUAAGUUUUGGCACAGGUGAUCGAACGUGAUUUUGGUCUGUCUUAUAUUGCCGCCAGGUGGCCAAGGCGCACACAGCAGAAUGAGCAGCACAAUGUGCAACAGGCUCGUUUAUUCAAUAAUGUCCGUGUGUGAAAAAUAGCGAUAAUUACACGAACAUGUAAUGGAAAUAAGCAUUUAUUGACUCAUUUACUAAGUGAGGGGUGGCCACUAUUUUGAGGGAUGUGAUAAUAUAUAAGAGAGUGUGUACAAAAAUGUCCCACAGUGUCCUCUGUUUUGUACUUACUGUAUUUGUUAAUAUAUUAAACACGUAUUACCUGCAUGUUAUUUUAUUUUGGUAAUCUUAUCCAUCAUGACCAGGUGACAAUAAAAUGAUAAUCAAU